CAUGUCUUGCUGCAGCUACUGGCAUAUCCUGUCCAACCCCAUCCCCCAAUAUGACUGCAUUACAAACAAGGCUAGAAAGGCAACAACAAAAUUUAAGGACCGCACUGAAGAUGAGCAGGGAAAAAAAAUACCCAUCACCAAACAAACAAAGAAAGGAUACACACUCUCAGAGCAGCAUGCAGACCACAAAGGGCAUUCCUGGAAGGACCUCCACAUAGAGAUAGCCCCGUUUCAGCACGUGCAAUUGCAGAACGUGUGGCUGAAACAACUCUGCUGCAGAGAAGAGCUGGGACUCCCUGCACCGUGUCUCCAGCACAAGUCCCCACUGUCACAUCAAGGUGGCCAGCAAAGUGCUGCAGGACCCUGAAAUCAGUCCAUCAGCAGUGAGUACCAUUAUCUUGAUUAGGCCACCAGUGACAGCCAGGAUCACCAUACCCUCCGCAGCAAACAGCCACAGCUCCUGGGAGUUUAUGCAGAACUGAUGAGCCCACAGCACGGACAGGUCAUAUAAUCUUUUCUUGCCAACUCUCUGCAAGUGGAAUCCCCAUGCAGCAUUCACAGUGUCACCCAGGGGCCAUCCUAAAAGCUCUCCAGAGUGAAGCAUACAAGGAGGGGCUGCAGCCAGAUUGAAGUUGGUCAUGUUCUUCCCAAGCACCUCCAAAAGUGACAGAGAAAUUACCAGUUACUGCUGGGCUGCCAAGUCCUAUCGAGUUCUGCUCCUGCCGCUUCCCAGCACUAAGGGUGCAACAUGGCCAUCUCUGUGAGUGGGAGAAAGCCCUGUUUCUGGCAUGGAAGCAAGAAACCAGGUCUAGGAAUUCAGGAUGCUCCAGCAACAGGAACUCUAACAGUGAAGGCAAGAGAAAGCAUAUGGCAGUUGCCAAGAGGCAGGAGCUCAGUGUUGUUUCUGUGGCUGGAUCUGUGCUAAUGAGGGAGGUUUCUAGGGAUCAAAUCACCAAGCCUCCUUCCCUUCCCCCAGCUUGCCACAUAAUGGAUAGAGGUGAAAAUCACAGGUUGAUUUAUUUGCAAUAUCACCUAUAUGGCAAGGGGGGAUUUGGACUUUGGGAGUAUAUGAGGGAAGGGGGGGUUCAUUGCCUUCUAACACAGAGCAUUCAUUAUACCAGCAUCAUCAGCCUCACAAGUCAAUCUGACACACACACACAGCUCCUCAGCUCUGUCCCAGAGAUACAGUGCCUAGCAAAAAAGCAGAGCAAGAAUGUAAGGAAAGGGAGACCUUCCUCUCUCAGACUGAAGCACACAGCCACAUGGUCAUCAAGUCAACAGUGCUUUGUUGAAUCAGAUUGAUCAAUAAAAGGCCAUCUCAAAAUAAGUCUGCAAAACCUCUGCCUAAGAGUACUAUCAGGGGUCUUCCCCUCAGUGCCCCAUCUGCCUUAGUGAUUCCUCUGCUGUUCCUGCCUUGUGCCUGGGUAUGGUAACCAGACGGACUCACUAGCAAACUAAUUUAUUUAGACUAACAACCUCAAGAAGUGUUUUGCAUAAACACUAAGGUGAAGGGAGCACACUGUUUUAAGCUUAACAGAAAUGCUCCAGGUAGUCUUUUUCCCCUCCUGAAUAAAUACGUGAUUCUACAGAAUGGUGUCCUUUCUAGGGAAACCUUAGCCAGUCUCCAUAAAUCAUCCCAGUCUUGACCUCCAGAAGGACAUGCCAAAUACUGGAACUGUAUGGUAUGCUGUAAUGAAAGGAAGCAUAUAUUUCAAGCCAAGAAACUGUGGCUUUGUGGUUUUGGCUUCCUUAGACACUGGCAUCUCCCUGUAAAGUCCCCCUGUACCUUUUUCCCCUUUUCAUGUGUGUCUUCUUUCUCCUGCCACAGAUGGUUCCGACAGGAUUGAGCUACACACAAAUAACCUUCUAUGGGUAUGUCACUAAGAAAAGACAGACUAGGGAUAGCGUGAGCCCUCUCCAGAAGGAAACAGGAAACCUGUCUACCCUGGAUUUGGAGAAGGCUGAGGUUCUUAAUGACUUCUUUGCUUCAGUCUUCACUGGCAAAUGCUCUGACCACACAGCUCAAGUCUUGGAGGGCAGAUGCAGGGACUGUAAGAAUGAAGACCCACUGUAGGAGAGGAUCUGGUCUGAGAUCAUCUUAGGAACCUGAAUGUGCACAAGUCCAUGGGACCUGAUGAAAUCCAUCUGCAGGUCCUGAAGGAGCUGACAAAUGAAGUUGCUAAGCUGCUGUCUAUAUGAUAUUUGAAAAAUCAUGGCAGUCAGGUGAAGUUCCCAACGACUGGAAGAAGGGUAACAUAACCCCCAUUCUCAAGAAGGGGAAAAUGGAUGACCCAGGGAAUUACAGACCAGUCAGUCUCACCUCUGUGCCUGGCAAAAUCUUGGAGCAGAUUCUCCUGGAUGGCAUGCUAAGGCACAUGAAAAACAACAAGGUGCUUGGUGACAGCCAGCAUGGCUUCACUAAGGGGAAAUCAUGAACAUGAGCCAACUUCAGUGUGCGCUUGCAGCCCAGAAGGCCAACCGUAUCCUGGGCUGCAUCAAAAGGAGUGUGACCAGCAGGUCCAAGGAGGUGAUCCUGCCCCUCUACUCUGCUCUCGUGAGACCUCAC
Long non-coding RNA from Pezoporus occidentalis (night parrot), 2566 nucleotides. RefSeq lists it as uncharacterized. The record is from RefSeq and is a predicted model, not a curated record. NCBI's taxonomy places the organism in Eukaryota, Metazoa, Chordata, Aves, Psittaciformes, Psittacidae. The transcript has 3 exons.